This is a non-coding RNA of Durio zibethinus, 3330 nucleotides long. The record is from RefSeq and is a predicted model, not a curated record. Lineage: Eukaryota; Viridiplantae; Streptophyta; Magnoliopsida; Malvales; Malvaceae.
AACAAAGGCAAAGAGUAUUAUAAAAAAGGGGGCGGGCAAAGAGUAAAAUAUUAAAAUAAAGAGGAGGAGCUUCUGGUUCUAUCCAAAUGGCCCCACAAUCCAAGAGCUUUACCCUUUUUCUCAGACCAACCAUGAUUUUCUCUUCCUUGUUCCUUCUCUUCUUCUUCUUCUUCUUCUUCUUCUUCUUAGGAAUCCCAAAUAAACCUACCCUACCACUUUGCCUCUCCUUUUUCACCCUUCCCGAAUAUCAUCUCUCUUGUCUAUCUUGCAAUCCUCCUUUUAGUUUUUACCUAUCCAAAGUUUCAAAUUGUCCUUCAAUUUCCUUCACAUUUUGUCUCUAUUUCCAUACAAUUCACUGUUCUUUUUUUUUUUUUUUCCUUUUCCCCUUUUUUCUCAGUUUCAUUUACAAAUUACCAUUUUCCAAACUGGAUAGUCUCUGAGUUAUUGUAAAAUCUGUUUAAUUUUGAGUCAAAAGGAUUCAUUUUGACAUCUGAGUGUUGGUCGAUUUGAGUUGUUAAGAGUCGGUUUAGGUGUUGAAGCCUUUCUUUUUUUACUUCAGUCAAAACAAACCAUUGUUGCUUUAUGGGUUUGUUAAACUUCGAGUUUUUAGUGGUGGGUUGUAAUUUUAGUGGUGUGAUUCCUAAGAUCUCUGGGUGAAUUGUAUGUAGAAGUGAGUGUUGGUCAUUGUGUUGUAGUUGUUAUUAUUAUUAUUAUUUGAGUGAGAAAACAAAACAAUGAAGAGAGGUAAAGAUGAUGAGAAGAUUAUGGGGCCUAUGUUCCCUAGACUUCAUGUUAAUGAUACCGAGAAAGGAGGGCCAAGAGCUCCUCCAAGGAAUAAGAUGGCCCUUUAUGAGCAUCUCAGUAUUCCUUCACAGAGGUUUAACCCUGGAGUCUUGCCUCUUAACCCAAGUAAUACAAGCAGUUUGGUUCCUCCUCGUUCCUCAAGCGAGGGGAGUAGCCUUGAAAGAAAUAUGCUUUUCCCGUCCCAUGUAUCUCCUUCCACAUCCACUACUCUGGCUGAGAAGUUUCAUACUCGCCAGCUUGGAGGAGCAAGUGCAAAUGGUCCUGUGUCACGCCUUGAACGGAGAAGGAAGGUCAGACUCAGAGAUGAAGAUGAUUUCAUGGUUCCUGUAUUUGUUAACUCAGAGACAGGUCAAGAACGUAAUAAAACUAAGAAUGGCUUUGAUGGGGAAAAACUCACUUCCUUGAGCCCAAUUGAUCCUGGCCAUCAAAUAAAGCUCCACAAUGUUUGUGAUAUGGAUCCAAAUCAGAGUAGCUCUUCUGUUGUCAAUUUAAGAAAAGAGGUUAAAGACCCGAGUGAAGAGAGCUCAAAAGUGUGCUCAAGUAGGAAGUGUUCAGUAAAAACUGCUGCAGAGUUAGCAAAUAGAGAAAAUAUUGAUGGACGUGUUAAAGAAGCCAAUGUGUCUCCUGAUCAGGAUUGUGGACAGCACCCUGCAUCUAGACCUAGCAGAUCUCAUGUAAAUGAUGUUUGUUCGCUACAAGAGUUGAGAGCUGGCAGACAAUUGGCUGAUAACGGAUGCAUUGAUGGUGCUGACUUUAUGAUAGAUAUUGGUGGGGAAAUUCUUCCCCGGCAGAGAAGCAUGUCUUAUUCAGAGGGGAAUCACAGUGUUCCUGGUGAAACUAAUAAUGGCAGUGAAUGCCGUGAAGACAGGACUUGUAGGGCACUACCAUUGGCAAAUGGAGAUAAAAGUGAUGAUGUCUCAGAGACCUUAGUGGUAGAUUCUAUAUCAGGCUUAGAUAUCUCUCCUGAUGAUAUGGUGGGAAUAAUAGGUCAGAAGCAUUUCUGGAAGGCAAGAAGAGCGAUUGUCAAUCAACAAAGAGUAUUUGCAGUACAAGUGUUUGAGUUGCAUAGACUGAUUAAGGUUCAGAGACAAAUUGCUGGGUCACCGCAUCUCUUACUUGAGGAUAUGACAUAUCUGGGCAAACCCUGUUCCAAAGGCUCUCCUGCAAAGAAGCUUCCACCAGAGUUUAUCGUAAAACCACAGUCACACACCAAGUGCAAAGAUGACUCUGAGAAGCCAAGUCAUAAAAUGGAAUGUUCAGCAGAAAAUGUGGUUGGUAGGACAUCCCUCUCUUCAGUGACAAAUGGUAUUCAGCCCUCAAAUUAUGGGCCUUUCUUCGGAAACCAACCACCUGCACCAAUUAAUGGUGAUAACAAAAUUUCUCCUUGGUGUUUCCAUCAGGUGCCUGGGCACCAAUGGCUUGUUCCUGUCAUGCCCCCUUCUGAAGGAUUGAUAUACAAGCCCUUUCCUGGACCUGGAUUCAUGGGUUCCAUUUGCGGAGGAUGUGGACCUUUCAGACAAACUCCAAUGACAACCAACUUUAUGACUUCUUACGGAGUUCCUGCUCCUUCUCAUCAAGGAAUUGGGGUUCUACCAGGUGCUCCUCCGGUUGGUUACACUUACUUUCCUCCUUAUGGGAUGCCAGUCAUGAACCCAGCAGUCUCGGGUUCUGCUAUGAAACAAAUGAACCAAUUUGCUGGACCUGGUUCCCAUGCCCAUAGUGGCCAAUUAUCUGGAGUUGGAGUUAACUUUAACAUGCAACAUCAAAGUUCAUGUAAUUUGUCUAGCGAGGAGAAUGGUGGUAUUUCUCAUGUCAUGAAGUUUCAGGCAUCUAAAGACGCUGAGCUACAAGGGAGUACAACAAGCAGUCCUGCUGAGAAAGUGGAGGGAGAUGGGGCCAGUAGUGCUGCUGAAGGAAAAAAUGCACUUCCACUUUUCCAUACAGCUCCAACCACUCCAAAGGGAGCCUCUCAGCCUCAUGAUACCAACCAGAGGACAAGAGUGAUAAAAGUUGUGCCUCAUAAUCCAUUAUCAGCCUCUGAAUCAGCAGCUCGUAUUUUCCAAUCUAUACAGAAAGAGAGAAAAAAAAAUGGAGUUUAGCUUGUGUAUAUCAAACAAAGUAUUACUGCUGAAAUGUGAGAGGUGGAGAGUUGAGCCAGAAAGAAACAUGUGUCAGCUUGGGCGAAACUGUUCCUCUUUCAGUGGGCAAAGGAACCACCAAUGUCGUUCAGAAGUGCAAGUUUUGUAUGAGGGAAGGAACUGUAACAAUGAUCUCAGGCUGAGGUCAACCAUCGACCCAGGAAGAAAGUGAAGGAAAAUAUGCCCCUUUGAUGCGUUUUGAUUGCACGGGUUAUGAGACUGUAGGUUUUGUAUUUGGUGGUGGCUGGAGGGUUGAAUCUGUAAGUCUUUGUUCAUCAUCCUCCACCCUAGAUGCUAUUUUUAUUAGGUAGCAGAAAUUGUGAAAAUAGCUUAUUAUAGCAAGGGCUUUGGAAUGCAUAUUUUGUUAUUUAUCAAUUUUCCAGUUCCA